This 1511-nucleotide ribosomal RNA is filed under the name uncultured bacterium. RNAcentral's name for it is "bacterial SSU rRNA". It matches the Rfam family "Bacterial small subunit ribosomal RNA". The record is from RNAcentral.
AGAGUUUGAUCCUGGCUCAGAAUAAACGCUGGCGGCGUGCCUAACACAUGCAAGUCGAGCGAGAAAGUUCUUCGGAAUGAGUAAAGCGGCAGACGGGUGAGUAACACGUGAGAAUCUACCCUUUAGUGAGGAAUACCCCCGAGAAAUCGGGGCUAAUACCGCAUGAGUCCUUAUAGAAAUAUAAGGAGAAAGAUGGCCUCUUUGCUAUCGCUAGAGGAUGAGCUUGCGUACUAUCAGCUAGUUGGUAGGGUAAAGGCCUACCAAGGCUAUGACGGUUAACCGGCCUGAGAGGGUGUUCGGUCACACUGGAACUUAGACACGGUCCAGACUCCUACGGGAGGCAGCAGUGGGGAAUCUUGCGCAAUGGGCGAAAGCCUGACGCAGCGACGCCGCGUGAAGGAUGAAGGCCUACGGGUUGUAAACUUCUGUUAAGUGGGAAGAAAGACUCGCUUCUAAUACAGGCGAGGGAUGACUGUACCAUUAAAGAAAGCACCGGCUAAACUCGUGCCAGCAGCCGCGGUAAUACGAGUGGUGCAAGCGUUAUUCGGAAUCAUUGGGCGUAAAGGGUGUGUAGGCGAUAAUUCAAGUCUAUUGUUAAAUUCCUCGGCCUAACUGAAGGUAUGCAAUGGAUACUGUAUUGAUAGAGGAUGGAAGAGAGAAGUGGAAUUCUCGGAGUAGCGGUUAAAUGCGUAGAUCUCGAGAGGAACACCGAUGGCGAAAGGAGCUUCUUAGUCCAUACCUGACGCUGAUACACGAAAGCGUGGGGAGCAAACAGGAUUAGAUACCCUGGUAGUCCACGCUGUAAACGAUGAUCACUUGAUGUUGGUCCUGCUUUGCGGGAUCAGUGUCGUAGCUAACGCGUUAAGUGAUCCGCCUGGGAACUACGGUCGCAAGACUAAAACUCAAAGGAAUUGACGGGGGUCCGCACAAGCGGUGGAACAUGUGGUUUAAUUCGACACUACGCGAGAAACCUUACCUGGGCUUGACGUGCACUUGACAGUCGUAGAAAUACGAUCUUUUAGGUUUUUAAUCUAAACGGGUGCACAGGUGCUGCAUGGCUGUCGUCAGCUCGUGUCGUGAGAUGUUUGGUUAAGUCCUCUAACGAGCGCAACUCUUGCCGUCAGUUGCAACCACGUAAGUGGGCACUCUGAUGGGACUGCCUGGGAAACCAGGAGGAAGGUGGGAAUGACGUCAAGUCCUCAUGGCCCUUAUGUCCAGGGCAACACACGUGUUACAAUGGUCAGUACAAAGGGCAGCAAGCUCGCAAGAGUAAGCAAAUCCCAUAAAGCUGGCCUAAGUUCGGAUUGAGGUCUGCAACUCGACCUCAUGAAGCUGAAAUCGCUAGUAAUCGCAUAUCAGAACGAUGCGGUGAAUACGUUCUCGGGCCUUGUACACACCGCCCGUCACACCAUGAGAGCUAUUUGUACCUAAAACCAUCUUUGCCAACCCUUUGGGGGGCGGAUGCCCAAGGUAUGGGUAGUGAUUGUGGUGAAGUCGUAACAAGGUAGCCG